Centrocercus urophasianus (Greater sage-grouse) is the source of this 970-nucleotide long non-coding RNA. RefSeq lists it as uncharacterized. The transcript has 4 exons. NCBI's taxonomy places the organism in Eukaryota, Metazoa, Chordata, Aves, Galliformes, Phasianidae. The record is from RefSeq and is a predicted model, not a curated record.
CGGCUUUCGCCUCUCCAUGCAGAUGGGAAGGCCGUCCGCUGCGAUGUUACAUCAUAAAAAGCUAACGGCUCCCUCUAAGCCCGGGUUCAAAGUCUCUCCCCCUCCUCCCAGCACACACAUACCCGGGAAGAAAGCUGGAGCUGUCGCUCCUCUGCCAGCCCUCGUUGUGCCUUCCCUUUGUGCGAGCUCCCGCUAGCUAAGCAUGCAGCGAAGGAGGGAGGAUGCAAAGGCGGCCCGGGGGGAAUAAGCGCUCCCGCAUGCAGCCAGGUAGGGAACGGCCCUGUCCGAGGGGGCCCGGUGACACGGAGGCGGCUCUCACCUCCCCCCUCCCCAUGCGCUCACCUUCACGGUUUCUUCCGAGCCCUGAGAUAAAGCUACGGUUUGUCACCGUCCUCGGCAGCUAAAGAUCUCUGCACCCUCGAAGUCUGUGCAGCUCCUCAGUCAACUGAAACCACUCGUUCAAGACAGCAACAAUCCAGAUAUACUAGCAAGUCAUAAAACUGAACAAAAGCCGACAAACCUUAGAGCACCAUCGCUAUAUGGCCCAGACAAAUUACGACCGUCUAGGGGGAAUCGUUGUGUGCUUAUCCCGUGCUACCAACGGUAACGCUAUUUAUCGACCAAAAAAAAAAAAAAAUCACUAAUUCCACAUCUUUAAGCAAAACUACAUUACGUAAAUAUCUACAACCAGAAAGAGAGAGAGAAAUUCAGAGCUUGAAAGAGCAAAGCGGGCCCGGGGAAGGCUGCAGGAACCGAGGAGGCUCACACAUGGCCCUCAGCGUUAGCAUGGCUUUCUUCCGCUCCCGAAGCAGCCAUUAAGACUUUAAGGACAUACUGAGAACGUCUAAAAUCGUUAAUCCAUACAGGUGCGGAUGACUACAGCCUAGGAAAAUGAUACUGGCUCUUUAAACCAUAAAGAUGUGUUUAUAGGUUCAUCAAGAGAAAUUAAAGUUGGCUGUGAGCUCCCGAA